Molecule: long non-coding RNA, 616 nt
Organism: Sinocyclocheilus rhinocerous
Lineage: Eukaryota; Metazoa; Chordata; Actinopteri; Cypriniformes; Cyprinidae
Exons: 6
Source: RefSeq, a predicted model, not a curated record
CACUCAGCGUACAAUAAUCCCGCUCAUGUGGAACCGAGGCUUUUCCAGUGAGGACUCAUUUGAGGGAAGAGGGAUUGUAUUGCUCUCCGUCUGAGAGAAAAACAGACCCGAACGCGAGCGCGGCUGACCCACAUCAUUACCCUGAACAUGAACAAAUGUUUACAGUGUCUGCUGUUGAUGGAUGGUGUGCUGCUCUGGCUGUAGCUGCAGUGUACGGCGCUGGCUUCUGAAGCUGACAUCAUCAAGGCCGCAUACAUUUCAACCAAUAGGUGCCCUCGAUGUUUCAGUAGGGGGUUGGUUCUUCACAAUUAAUGGUAUAUCUCAGAUCUCUGGAUAUUUGGCAGUUCACCUUGGAUGACCACCCUUCAUUUGAAGCUGAAAACCGAGCUGUUCUAAAAAAAAACAAAAGCAAUCCUCGCCAAGAUCUCGCCAUCUCUACAGACAGCUCAAUCAUCUCUCCCUCACUGAAAGCCAAGAACCUUGGCAUUACACGGGAUGAGGAUCUGGCACAUGUACCGUGUUCUAGUCCUGGUAUACAAGACAAAUUUUCAGCACUCGUCAUCUACCACAGCCUCACUGCAGUCUCAGCACAUUUGUCUUCAGCACUCCCCUAAAG